AGUGAACGCUGGCGGUAGGCCUAACACAUGCAAGUCGAACGGCAGCACCGUAAGAGCUUGCUCUUACGGGUGGCGAGUGGCGGACGUGUGAGGAAUACAUCGGAAUCUACUUUUUCGGGGGGGUUAACGUAGGGAAACUUACGCUCAUACCGCAUACGACCUACGGGUGAAAGCAGGGGAUCUUCGGACCUUGCGCGGUUGAAUGAGCCGAUGUCGGAGUAGCUAGUGGGGGGGGUAAAGGCCCACCAAGGCGACGAUCCGUAGCUGGUCUGAGAGGAUGGUCAGCGACACUGGAACUGAGACACGGUCCAGACUCCUACGGGAGGCAGCAGUGGGGAAUAUUGGACAAUGGGCGCAAGCCUGAUACAGCCAUACCGCGUGGGUGAAGAAGGCCUUCGGGUUGUAAAGCCCUUUUGUUGGGAAAGAAAAGCAGCAGGUUAAUACCCCGCUGUUCUGACGGUACCCAAAGAAUAAGCACCGGCUAACUUCGUG
RNAcentral lists this ribosomal RNA (492 nucleotides) under uncultured bacterium. RNAcentral's name for it is "partial 16S ribosomal RNA". It matches the Rfam family "Bacterial small subunit ribosomal RNA", at positions 29 to 507 of the family's 1533-position model. The record is from RNAcentral.